ACGGGCUCUGAGAGGAGGAGCCCGGAGAUGGGCACUGAGACAAGGGCCCAGGCCCUAUGGGGCGCAGCAGGCGCGAAACCUCUGCAAUAGGCGAAAGCUUGACAGGGUUACUCUGAGUGAUUUCCGUUAAGGAGAUCUUUUGGCACCUCUAAAAAUGGUGCAGAAUAAGGGGUGGGCAAGUCUGGUGUCAGCCGCCGCGGUAAUACCAGCACCCCGAGUGGUCGGGACGUUUAUUGGGCCUAAAGCAUCCGUAGCCGGUUCUACAAGUCUUCCGUUAAAUCCACCUGCUUAACAGAUGGGCUGCGGAAGAUACUAUAGAGCUAGGAGGCGGGAGAGGCAAGCGGUACUCGAUGGGUAGGGGUAAAAUCCGUUGAUCCAUUGAAGACCACCAGUGGCGAAGGCGGCUUGCCAGAACGCGCUCGACGGUGAGGGAUGAAAGCUGGGGGAGCAAACCGGAUUAGAUACCCGGGUAGUCCCAGCUGUAAACGAUGCAGACUCGGUGAUGAGUUGGCUUAUUGCCAACUCAGUGCC
This 531-nucleotide ribosomal RNA is filed under the name uncultured archaeon. RNAcentral's name for it is "bacterial SSU rRNA". It matches the Rfam family "Archaeal small subunit ribosomal RNA", at positions 269 to 802 of the family's 1478-position model. The record is from RNAcentral.